AGCAACUGUUUCCAAAUAAAGUCAGAGUCUGUCAAACUGAGCAUUUAGGACUUCAAUCUAUCUUCAGGAAUAAAAAUGGUGUCACUUAGUCAUUGAGCAGAGAACGGUUCUUGGCACAUAGCAUUGGAUACUCAGAAGGAUAAAGAUGCACAAAGGAAACAGUUAUGAGACGUGAAGGAUUUCAAGAGGGGACAAAUACCUCAUUCAGUGCUCUGCCUGUUGCUGCAAUGGGAGAUCAAGAUUUUUCAUCUCCUCUUUCUGUCAUUUCUAAGUCAGGAAGAGGAGACGAGUGACAGUGACCUGGGUCAAGGACAAAAUGAAUUCCUUAGAGUCAUUAUAGGAAAACAGCACUGGGCAUAAGCAUUUUAAUGUAAAAAUG
This is a long non-coding RNA of Hyaena hyaena (striped hyena), 379 nucleotides long. RefSeq lists it as uncharacterized. The transcript is spliced from 3 exons. Lineage: Eukaryota; Metazoa; Chordata; Mammalia; Carnivora; Hyaenidae. The record is from RefSeq and is a predicted model, not a curated record.